Molecule: long non-coding RNA, 252 nt
Organism: Aedes aegypti (yellow fever mosquito)
Lineage: Eukaryota; Metazoa; Arthropoda; Insecta; Diptera; Culicidae
Exons: 2
Source: RefSeq, a predicted model, not a curated record
CCACUGCAUACAAUUUGGUAGCAGAUUUUGGUUUAACGACGAGCUUUUGCAAAUUUGUAACGAAUGUGAAACCAUUAUUUGCGAGCAUUUACCUUGCUCGCUGAAGAAAUUCGCUGCUGAUUCUAUACAACUGAGAACUUUCUAAAGUUCUGUUUGACGAUAUCUAGGUGAGAUGUUUUAUUCGGCAGUUAGUUUUGUGCUUAAAUUUUGUUAACAUGGUUCCAUUGUUUUAGAUUUUUGUACCGACCAUCC